RNAcentral lists this ribosomal RNA (256 nucleotides) under uncultured bacterium. Its description in RNAcentral is "partial 16S ribosomal RNA". It matches the Rfam family "Bacterial small subunit ribosomal RNA", at positions 524 to 776 of the family's 1533-position model. The record is from RNAcentral.
UACGUAGGUGGCAAGCGUUUGUCCGGAUUUAUUGGGUUUAAAGGGUGCGUAGGCGGUCUUUUUAAGUCAGUGCUGAAAUAUCCCGGCUUAACCGGGAGGGUGGCAUUGAUACUGAAGGACUUGAGUACAGUCGAGGUAGGCGGAAUUGACGGUGUAGCGGUGAAAUGCUUAGAUAUCGUCAAGAACACCGAUAGUGUAGACAGCUUACUAGGCUGAAACUGACGCUGAGGCACGAAAGUGUGGGGAUCAAAACAGG